AAGGGUAUAGCUCAAUGGUAGAGCGCCUGCUUAGCAUGCAUGAGGUCCUGGGUUCGAUUCUCAGUACCUCCA
RNAcentral lists this transfer RNA (72 nucleotides) under Camelus bactrianus (Bactrian camel). It matches the Rfam family "tRNA". From Rfam's summary of the family: Transfer RNA (tRNA) molecules are approximately 80 nucleotides in length. Their secondary structure includes four short double-helical elements and three loops (D, anti-codon, and T loops). The record is from Rfam by way of RNAcentral. RNAcentral also lists the same sequence under 2 other names. Lineage: Eukaryota; Metazoa; Chordata; Mammalia; Artiodactyla; Camelidae.